RNAcentral lists this long non-coding RNA (3821 nucleotides) under Homo sapiens (human). RNAcentral's name for it is "uncharacterized LOC105372321, transcript variant 2 (LOC105372321)". Lineage: Eukaryota; Metazoa; Chordata; Mammalia; Primates; Hominidae. The record is from RNAcentral.
GUCUCUUGCUCCAGCCAGAGCUCGAGGUUAGCUCUUCACUGCCCUGUGUCUUCUUUCCAAGGGUCUCGGUGAUUCGGCCACAGCCUCAGCCUCCAUCACGCGGUGAACUGAUGGUGCUGGAAGAUUCAUAGACUCCAGGACAUUCCUGAAGCCGAGAAAAGGUUAAGUAGGGUCUGGCCUGGAAUACUCUCCUAGAUGAAGAUAGCCCAACCAUGAGCCACCUUCGAAGCAGAUGAGAUGAAAUUAAAGCUCUUCAACUCCUAAAGGCCCAGAGACUAUCACAAAAGAGGUCAGAAAUCCUGAAGGUCACUUUCUGACAAACUCAGGAACCCCAGGUUUAUCUUGGAGCCUCAAGAGGAGAUAAAUUCACCCAACUCAGGCUGGAGUGCAGUGGCGUGAUCUCAGCUCGCUACAACCUCCACCUCCCAGCCACCUGCCUUGGCCUCCCAAAAUGCCCAGAUUGCAGCCUCUGCCCGGCUGCCACCCUGUCUGGGAAGUGAGGAGCGUCUUUGCCUGGCCGUCCAUCAUCUGGGAUGUGAGGAGCCCCUCUGCCCGGCUGCCCAGUCUGGGAAGUGAGGAGCGCCUCUUCCCGGCCGCCAUCCCAUCUAGGAAGUGAGGAGCGUCUCUGCCCAGCCACCCAUCGUCUGAGAUGUGGGGAGCGCCUCUGCCCCGCUGCCCCGUCUGGGAUGUGAGGAGCGCCUCUGCCCGGCCACAACCCCGUCUGGGAUCUGAGGAGUGUCUGUCUCUGCCCGACCGCCACCCCGUCUGGGAGGUGAGGAGCGUCUCUGCCUGGCCGCCCCGUCUGAGAAGUGAGGAGCCCCUCCGCCCGGCAGCCGCCCCGCCUGGGAAGUGAGGAGCGUCUCCGCCCGGCAGCCGCCCCGUCCGGGAGGUGGGGGGCAGCCCCCGCCCAGCCAUCCGCCCCGUCCAGGAGGGAGGUGGGGGGGUGCCUCUGCCCGGCCACCCCGUCUGGGAAGUGAGGAGCCCCUCUGCCCGGCCGCCACCCCGUCUAGGAGGUGUACCCAACAGCUCAUUGAGAACGGGCCAUGAUGACAAUGGCGGUUUUGUCGAAUAGAAAAGGGGGAAAUGUGGGGAAGGAAAGAGAGAUCAGAUUGUUGCUGUGUCUGUGUAGAAAGAAGUAGACAUGGGAGACUCCAUUUUGUUCGGUACUAAGAAAAAUUUUUCUGCCUUGGGAUGCUGUUAAUCUAUAACCUUACCCCCCACCCCCCACCCCGUGCUCUCUGAAACAUGUGCUGUGUCCACUCAGGGUUAAAUGGAUUAAGGGCGGUGCAAGAUGUGCUUUGUGAAACAGAUGCUUGAAGGCAGCAUACUUGUUAAGAGUCAUCACCACUCCCUAAUCUCAAGUACCCAGGGACACAAACACUGUGGAAGGCCGCAGGGUCCCCUGCCUAGGAAAACCACAGACCCUUGUUCACAUGUUUAUCUGCUGACCUUCCCUCCACUGCUGUCCUAUGACCCUGCCAAAUCCCCGUCUCUGAGAAACACCCAAGAAUGAUCAAUAAAUACUAAAAAAAAAAAAAAAAAAAAGUAGUAAAAUAGAGCUCUUGGUAAGUUUUGUGUAGCUUAACAUCAGCAUAAAGUAGGAAAAAAUAUCUUUAAAAAUGUAAACGGACAAAAACCUACACCAAAAAAACAAACAUACACCAAUGCAUACAUAUUGACUGAAGCUCCAGGGAUGUAAAAUAAUUUCUCCUGGGUACACAGCUAGUGACCCAAAUCAAGCUCAAAUAUGUUUGAUUUUAAAAUUGUCAUUUUCUCACUUUUGACAAUAUUGACAUAACAGGUAAAUCUUUGUCUCAGAGUUGAUAGUUGAAAAUAAACUAAGAUAAGUAUUAUUGAAGCUGGCUAGCUAGCCAAGAAGGUCACCAUGUCCUCAGGAUGCAGCAGCCAUGGCGAUUUCCUGGUGAUAGCAUAUUAUCAACACAAUAAACCCCAACAUUUGCAUUGCGUUUCAGCUCAUUCAAGCAAAGCUCUCUAGUAGGGAUAUUCCCCCAUAAAGAGCAUGCACAUUUUGAUUUUACUUGUCCUCUGACCUUUUACUCAUCGUAAUACUAAAAAACACACACGUGAGUGGAGUUUUUGCUAAUGAGAUGCUAAUUAGAUAUGUGACAUAUGCUAAUGAGAUAUGUGACAUAUAAACAAGCAUGUACAGCCACUGUGUAUGUGCACCAAGAGGACCACCCAGAACAUGCUUACUAAUAACACCACUUUCUAACUCUUUGUAAAUAAUUAUGUAAGACUCCGAUAAAUGGAGUCUCUCUAUUUCCAGUCUUUGCUGUCUCAUUCUUAUAAGCAGCCCAUCCUGAAUUGCUUUUCUCUCAGGGGUGUUUUGCACCGCACUUUUAAAAUAGUGUUUCUACUUUGCGAUAAAUCUAUCUAUGCUGCAUCCUCAUUUUUUUGCGUCUCGUUUAAAUUUUUGAAACUAAGAACCGAGGUCUCACAACAGCCUUCAGGACUAUUGUGCUUUGUUUUGUUUUCUUAACAUUAUUUUAUGUGAUAUUUCAUAUUUACAUUUUCAACAUAGCCAAAACUGCUAAAUUAAAAACUUAAAUGAUCAUGCUUUUAAAGUGAUUUGUCUUAAAAGCAUGUAUGUAUAUUUUUCAAGUUUCAGCUUUAUGUAUUCAAAUUUUUUAAAAAUUCUGACACAUAUAUCUAUCAAAUUUAAUAUUUUAAAUAAUUUGAAUUCACUUCCAAAAUGAUUUAUAUUCAUUGUUAUAUUUCAUUUUGACCAAAUUUGGCUUUCCAAGCUAAAGAAAUGCUCUGUAGUAAAAUAAAGGCUCAUGUUUUUAUCAAUAAUAUUUUAUGUCUGAGGACUUAAGCAUCAAGGACAGAAAUCUGGAUGAUGUUGAGUGAAUAUUUAAAUUGAUAAAGUAGAAAUUAUCAGAAUCAAAUAAGGGGUGGAUCCAGAAACAUAGUACUUAAUAAAACCAUUCAGGGUAUGUUUGACAAACAAGAAGAUUGCAUAGGAUCUGCACUGCACUACUAAUGUAAAGCGUUCUCUGUAACUUUAUUCUCCACGUACUCAUACACAAAAUGAAUAAGAUUAACUCCUUUUCCUGGAAGGCAGUGAUUCCUCUUUUAUUCUGUUACAUCUGUUCCACAUUGCUGUGAUAAUGCUGUUGAAGUGCACCCCCUUACACCAGAAGAUCACCUGUGUGAAUGUGAAUAGACUGACACUGGAGAGGACCAGCUCAGCACAGUCACUUGAACUGCCCCUUUGCAUUUCAGGCAGGUAAAAUGCCUUUGAAGAGUGAAAAUAAAGUUACUGCUGAUUAAGCAGAGAGUUUGACUUGCUGAUCAAUUUGAUCAGAAGCCUCUCAAUGAGAUAAUUACUGCAUUUAUUUAUUUCAAGAAAAGUAAAAGCCAAAGCCCAGAAUGUGGCAAGGCAAGAGUUGAAAAGAAAAGAACAAGUUUUUCUUUGCCUAGCAAGCUCACUUCAAGGACAGUUAUAAGAUAAUGCUGUUUGAGAAGUUGAAACCAAAGAAAUAGGCUCCAGACACUCCCCUCCGAAGCAAGGGUGAAGGAAACAAAGAAAAACAAACGUCUGUAUUUAGCCAGUUCUUGUUUUUUCUUUCAAUGCAGCUACAAGGCCACCAGCUAUUAAAGGCCACAAGUUAUGCCAAGAAUUCAGUUAUGCUAUAAAUUACAUAAACUGGUCAUUAUAUAAUUAACUGCCUUUGUUUUGCUUCUGUAAGUUUACUUAUUAAAAUCUCACUCAGUCUUUGUUCAAGGCUCAGCUUUUUGGAUGUGAAUUCACUGAGCCAGAGCAUACCUUAAAAUAAAUAUCCUCCUUUAUUGACUCA